This 788-nucleotide non-coding RNA is filed under the name Ochthebius salinarius. The record is from RNAcentral. Lineage: Eukaryota; Metazoa; Arthropoda; Insecta; Coleoptera; Hydraenidae.
GAAAAGUUUUAUUUUAGCUUUAAAUAUUAAUGUUUAUUUUUUAUUUUACAUGUGAGUGUUAGCGUGGAAUAUAUUAAUUUUAAAAAGAUUUAUAUUUUUUUAUUUAUUCGCAGUUUAUAAUUUUUUAUAUUUAAGAAAUUAAGAUUAAGAAAUUUAUUAUAAUAUUAACAAAGUUUGUGCCAGCAGUUGCGGUUAUACAAACAAUAUAAUUAAUAUUUAUUAAUUAAUAAUUAAUUUAUUUUAUUUUAAUUUAAUUUGUAUAUUAUUAAGUGAAAUUUUAAUAUAUUUUAAAAUUAUAAAAAAUAUUAUGAAGUUAUUAAAUUUUAGAAUUAAACUAGGAUUAGAUACCCUAUUAUUUAAAAUGUAAAAUUUUAUAUUAAAUUAGUAUUAGUUAUUUUCUUGAAAAUUAAAAAAUUUGGCGGUAUUUUAGUCUUUUCAGAGGAACCUGUUCUGUAAUUGAUAUUCCACGAUUAGUCUUACUUUUAUUAAUUAAUUUAUAUAUCGUCGUAGUUUGAAUAUUUUAUAAGAAUUUUAAUGUUCAAGAUUAAUAAUUAUUAAAUAAAUCAGAUCAAGGUAUAGUUUAUAUAAAAGUAGAAAUGGGUUACAAUAAAUUUAUUUAUAUGGAUUUAAAUUUUAAAUAAUUUAAUGAAAGUGGAUUUGAAAGUAAUAUAAUUAAUUUAAAUUAUAUGAUUUAAGCUCUAAAAUAUGUACAUAUCGCCCGUCGCUUUCAUUUAAAAUGAAAUAAGUCGUAACAAAGUAGAUGUACUGGAAAGUGUACCUAGAAAGAU